GGAAUCUUCCACAAUGGACGAAAGUCUGAUGGAGCAACGCCGCGUGAGUGAUGAAGGGUUUCGGCUCGUAAAACUCUGUUGUUGGAGAAGAACAGGUGUCAGAGUAACUGUUGACAUCUUGACGGUAUCCAACCAGAAAGCCACGGCUAACUACGUGCCAGCAGCCGCGGUAAUACGUAGGUGGCAAGCGUUGUCCGGAUUUAUUGGGCGUAAAGCGAGCGCAGGCGGUUUUUUAGGUCUGAUGUGAAAGCCCCCGGCUCAACCGGGGAGGGUCAUUGGAAACUGGGAGACUUGAGUGCAGAAGAGGAGAGUGGAAUUCCAUGUGUAGCGGUGAAAUGCGUAGAUAUAUGGAGGAACACCAGUGGCGAAGGCGGCUGUCUGGUCUGUAACUGACGCUGAGGCUCGAAAGUAUGGGUAGCAAACA
Molecule: ribosomal RNA, 424 nt
Filed under: uncultured bacterium
Lineage: Bacteria
Description: bacterial SSU rRNA
Rfam family: Bacterial small subunit ribosomal RNA
Source: RNAcentral